CAGCCGCCACGGGAAUACCGAGGGUGCAAGCGUUAAUCGGAAUUACUGGGCGUAAAGCGCGCGUAGGUGGUUUGUUAAGUCUGAUGUGAAAGCCCCCGGCUCAACCGGGGAGGGUCAUUGGAAACUGGGAAACUUGAGUGCAGAAGAGGAGAGUGGAAUUCCACGUGUAGCGGUGAAAUGCGUAGAGAUGUGGAGGAACACCAGUGGCGAAGGCGACUCUCUGGUCUGUAACUGACGCUGAGGAGCGAAAGCGUGGGGAGCAAACAGGAUUAGAUACCCCUGUAGUCCCUGUCUCUUAUAC
This 301-nucleotide ribosomal RNA is filed under the name uncultured bacterium. Its description in RNAcentral is "partial 16S ribosomal RNA". It matches the Rfam family "Bacterial small subunit ribosomal RNA", at positions 509 to 807 of the family's 1533-position model. The record is from RNAcentral.